AGGAAUGUAGCUCAAUGGUAAAGUAGUUGCUUAAGCAUGUUCAGAAGCCUGGGUUCAAUUCCCAGCAUUGCCC
Molecule: transfer RNA, 73 nt
Filed under: Mesocricetus auratus (golden hamster)
Lineage: Eukaryota; Metazoa; Chordata; Mammalia; Rodentia; Cricetidae
Rfam family: tRNA
About the family: Transfer RNA (tRNA) molecules are approximately 80 nucleotides in length.
Source: Rfam by way of RNAcentral